ACUCGGGACCAGCACUCCCCACGUUACAUCAAAGCCUUACAAGUCUGUAAAAAGAAGCUGUUGGACAGAAAGUCAUCAACUGAAUGACUUGAGAACUGACUGUGCUAUGCUGUUGCUGAUGACUCCAGUUAAUCCAAAGAGACAUGUUGUGACACCAGGUGAGAUGAGUCCUUCGUCACAGAUGGUGUGGUCAGUGAGGAUGGUCGCCUGCAGGUUUAAGGUCGUUGAAUUUCCAACAACAUCCACUGCCACUGUACUUAAGGGAAGUUAAAGACUUUCUUCUGCACCUACAUUUGGAUCACCCAAAUCUAUGACAGUCAUUCAGGCAGUAAUGCCUGGACUGGAAACAAGCAUCCUUAAAAUAUUACAACAUACCAAGUUUCUGUGUUUGAAUGCAAAACAAAUGUGUUGUUUAAUCUAGAGACUGCACUUGUGACAGAACAAUAAAUACAUUACUUAAUCAUCAAUAUAAAAUGUAACUUGCAAAACAAAGUUAUGGGAAGCCUAAACUUAGUUUCACAGUAAUUAAAUCUGAGACUUUGUUUCAGGGUAAGAUUAUAACAAUGAUGCCAAUAUUGUUGCUUGUUGCUCAGCAGAACAGUGUCCAGUGUGUUGACUGAUAGACUUUUUUGUAUUUACAAAUAAAAGUUGGGCUGAUUUUUACCACCAUUAAAAGAAGUGUUGUUAAUUAUUCUUUUUGAUUCAUAUUUGCAUACAGUGUUGUAUUAAUAUGUGUUGUACUAGAAAUGUCAAGGAUGAUAAAAUAUAAUGUGAAUUUUAUUUUUAUUUUUAUUUUUUUUGAAAAAAGUAAAUUACCACAAAUUGUUUUUUAAUUUAGUAGAACUUGAAAUGUUUGUCAGUGGGUAAACAAAUAGUAUUGCACAGUCAGAAACAUCAGGUUAUUCUUAGUACUGCAUACUUGCAAUUAAUAAGUUGUCCCAACUUAGUCAAAAUCUGCAAUAUAACUGCAUGGAUACUUGUCAUCCCUUAUAGCACGGGUGUAUUCCAAAAUGAUAAACCAGGAUCAAAUUGUGAAAGAGUGGUUCGGGGAGCAGGAGGCAUCAUUUUCACACUUGGAUCAUCAAGUCCAAGAAUCAAGAAUCUUUGGGAUGUGCUUCAUCAGUGCAAGAUCUUGGUGAGAAAUUAACCUGACUCUGGAUAGACUGAAGUGAAGCCAAAGCAAAUGCAUGGUGCCAUCAAAGCUGGAGGAGAUCCAAAUUUCCCUUUCCCUUGUCCUCCCACAGUUUAAACACAAGGUGGCAGUGUUGCACUGAUAGAAAACAACCCAACAGCAGAAGCGCCCCAGCUUAGAUUCUACUUUACUCAAGUAUUUCUAUUUACUUAACAGUAUUCUGCAGGAAAUGUUGUACUUUUGUACCUCACUUGGUUUUAUUUGGUAACAUUCGUCUUUUUGAUUCAAAUUAAACCUUCAGAUGUGUUAAAGGAUUGAUUUUAAAGCUCUAUAGAGGGCUUCAGAUUUGCUGCAGAGCCUGCAACAAACUGUGCAGCUCGUUUGUUUUUAAGAACAGAUGCUAAAAGACAGAAAAGAGACACGUGUCCUUCCUCCAGUGAACUCCUCCGUUAACCAGUCUCUCUAAAGUGUUUUAGACUCUGCUGGAGGAUUUAAAAUUGCUGCCAUAAAUUACUGUCCACGACCUCAAUGCAGUGAAUUAAUGCACCGCAUGUUUAAUCUACAGUCUGUCAAGCUCCACAAGACCAUUUUAUUCUAUGACAAGGCUUAAUCUGUUUCAGCCACAGGGGUCAUUAGCUUAUUCCUGGAUGCUCACGCAAUGACUUUUACUGCAAACGGGCUGAAAGCGAAAUUACAAAUGAGCCAUGAUGUUGUCAGAAGGAGCUGAGCACACGUGAAGGGUGAAGCAGUGAGUACGACUGGCACAUUUUUAAAGUGAAGAUGUGUCCUCACACAGAGUUGUUCCUGCACUCUUUUUCUGUCCCAGUCAGAGCUUUUUCUGCACUUCACUGAUCCUCUCCGUGCAGUCAUGACUGUGCAUUUAAAGCACCAAGUGAUGGAAAGUAACUAAAUAGAUUUCAUUAAGUAGUGAAUUUCUUCAGUUUUUCCUACAUUUGAGUGUAAUUUCAUUUGUUUGAUUACUACUAUUUACAGGGAAGGUAACUGCUAGUUCUUAUUGCACUGCAUUAAUCAGACAUCCAUCCAUCCAUCCAUCCAUGCUCCUAACAGCUUAUCCACUUCAGGGUUGAGGGGACAAUAGGACCAGAGUACUCCUAGGACAGGUUGGCAGUCUAUCACUGGGCCAAAAUAAAAGCAAUAAACUGAUAAUUUUAUAAUUAUUAAAGAUCGAGGAAGGAUAUAAAAUAGUGAAAAAUGUAAACAUCUUGUAAGGUAUAUCCUUCCCUUUC
This is a long non-coding RNA of Oreochromis niloticus (Nile tilapia), 2379 nucleotides long. NCBI's taxonomy places the organism in Eukaryota, Metazoa, Chordata, Actinopteri, Cichliformes, Cichlidae. The record is from Ensembl.